AAACUUACCAGGACGGGAUCGAUGGGCGAUCCAUAAGACCCAUGGCCUAGGUUGGUGACCCCAUUGCACUAUGGAGGGACGCCCACUUAAGGUCGGUCCAAGUGGUCGAGCCUGUGUCAUAAUUUGUGACAGAGGGGCCUGCGUUCGCACGAAA
Salvia hispanica is the source of this 154-nucleotide non-coding RNA. The record is from RefSeq and is a predicted model, not a curated record. NCBI's taxonomy places the organism in Eukaryota, Viridiplantae, Streptophyta, Magnoliopsida, Lamiales, Lamiaceae.